Amphiprion ocellaris (clown anemonefish) is the source of this 697-nucleotide long non-coding RNA. RefSeq lists it as uncharacterized. The record is from RefSeq and is a predicted model, not a curated record. NCBI's taxonomy places the organism in Eukaryota, Metazoa, Chordata, Actinopteri, Pomacentridae. The transcript is spliced from 2 exons.
AGAACGCAUCUGACCGAGAACGGAAGUAAGACCCGUAAGUGUUUUAUCGAGACUGCAUCGGACCAGACUUGUGUGGACUUGGGGCGGACAAAUAACCCAUAAUGCUUUUCGCGCCGACCAGCAGGAAAGGCCGAGGAGGAAACUUUCAGAGGGAAAUCUGAAGAAACCCCGGAUCCUCACUGACUGCUGGAAGACUCCACAGACAACAUCAGCAGCUCCAUCUUCAGCAUCUGGACCAGCAUGAUGCUGUUCAUGAAAACUGAAGGAUAGAAAAUGCUGAAAUGUAUUUAAGCAUUUUGCAUUAAAUAUUUUUCAAUUGUGUUCAAAAAAUGGAUUGAAUUGUUGAAGCCAGAAGUAAAUGUUCCUCUAACAUCAGACCUGUUUGAUCAGAUGCUGCUGAUGUUUGAAAAGGUUUCUGUUUUAUUACCUGACAGUCAGAAGAAGAGCUCACCUGUACAAGCUCACCCGUAUUCAGGUUCUGAGUACAGUAGUUGACAUGAAAUAUUCUCUCUUAAAUCAGUGAUGAUGUUAAGCAUACAGAAGCCCUGGUGAUCACAUCACAAGUGUAGUGAUGUUUGUGUAUCUGUCAGACUAUAAACCUCUGGAUAUUGGAGGACAAACAUCAGGUAUGUAUGUAGAAUGUAGACUAAUGUAUUUUAGUAAUGUUAAUAAUAAAACUGUAAACCAUCCAUCCCUG